This 502-nucleotide ribosomal RNA is filed under the name uncultured bacterium. Its description in RNAcentral is "bacterial SSU rRNA". It matches the Rfam family "Bacterial small subunit ribosomal RNA", at positions 8 to 507 of the family's 1533-position model. The record is from RNAcentral.
AGAGUUUGAUCCUGGCUCAGAUUGAACGCUGGCGGCAUGCCUUACACAUGCAAGUCGAACGGUAACGGGCCUUCGGGUGCCGACGAGUGGCGAACGGGUGAGUAAUGCAUCGGAACGUACCUUUCAGUGGGGGAUAACGUAGCGAAAGUUACGCUAAUACCGCAUAUUCUGUGAGCAGGAAAGCAGGGGAUCGCAAGACCUUGCGCUGAUUGAGCGGCCGAUGUCAGAUUAGCUAGUUGGUGAGGUAAAGGCUCACCAAGGCGACGAUCUGUAGCGGGUCUGAGAGGAUGAUCCGCCACACUGGAACUGAGACACGGUCCAGACUCCUACGGGAGGCAGCAGUGGGGAAUUUUGGACAAUGGGGGCAACCCUGAUCCAGCCAUGCCGCGUGAGUGAAGAAGGCCUUCGGGUUGUAAAGCUCUUUCGGCCGGGAAGAAAUCGCAUGGGUUAAUACCCUGUGCGGAUGACGGUACCGGCAUAAGAAGCACCGGCUAACUACGUG